AGCGAACGCUGGCGGCAGGCUUAACACAUGCAAGUCGAGCGGGCGUAGCAAUACGUCAGCGGCAGACGGGUGAGUAACGCGUGGGAACGUGCCCUUUGGUUCGGAACAACACAGGGAAACUUGUGCUAAUACCGGAUAAGCCCUUACGGGGAAAGAUUUAUCGCCGAAGGAUCGGCCCGCGUCUGAUUAGCUUGUUGGUGAGGUAACGGCUCACCAAGGCUACGAUCAGUAGCUGGUCUGAGAGGAUGAUCAGCCGCACUGGGACUGAGACACGGCCCAGACUCCUACGGGAGGCAGCAGUGGGGAAUAUUGGACAAUGGGGGCAACCCUGAUCCAGCCAUGCCGCGUGAGUGAUGAAGGCCCUAGGGUUGUAAAGCUCUUUCGGCGGGGAAGAUAAUGACGGUACCCGCAUAAGAAGCCCCGGCUAACUUCGUGCCAGCCGCCGCAGUAA
Molecule: ribosomal RNA, 451 nt
Filed under: uncultured bacterium
Lineage: Bacteria
Description: partial 16S ribosomal RNA
Rfam family: Bacterial small subunit ribosomal RNA
Source: RNAcentral